Stegodyphus dumicola is the source of this 1445-nucleotide long non-coding RNA. The record is from RefSeq and is a predicted model, not a curated record. Lineage: Eukaryota; Metazoa; Arthropoda; Arachnida; Araneae; Eresidae.
UCACCACACCAAAAGCUUUUUCAGAUGCAUCGCAGAAUCCAUGAAGAUCAAUAAUGAUGGGCUUCAGGUAUAAGAAUGAAUCUAGGAAUUUGUAAUUUAUUAAUGUCUGGUAGCUGCUUUAGAAAUUUUAACCAGACUUUUAACUCACUUGAUGGAAUGGGAUUGUCCCAAUUGAGUUUAUUUUUCCACAUUUCUUGAAGAAAUAUUUUGGCCUUGGUAAUAACUGGACCGACAAGACCCAAUGGGUCGAAGAGUCGAUAGAUGGUUGAAAGGACUUCACCCUUUGUAAAAUUCUUGGACAACUGUUCAGAUACCUUAAAAUUAAAACAAUCUGAUGAAGGUCGCCAUAAUAAACCAAGAGUCUUAACUGUAGGUUGGUCUGAUGAGAUUAUGUAUUCCUCGGUUUUACUGUCAUUUAACAAGUUUGGAUUAUUCAAAACCCAUUUAUGUAAUUCCUUAGCUCCUGCAGCUAAGAUGUUUUGGUAACUCAAUCUGCAAUUUUUUGCUUCUUCUAAGUUAUUAGAUCCAUAUAAAAUGUCAUCAACGUAAUGUGUCAUUAAUUAGUACCUUCAAUGCCUGAGGAAAUUUCCCUUGUUCAUCCUCCGCUAAUGCUCGCAGUGUUCUAGUUGCUAAAAAUGGAGCACAUGAGAUGUUUCAUAAGUUACUGUUUUCAAUCUGUAUGUCUCGGAGAGCAAACAUACUCAAUUUCCACAAUAUCCAUUGUAAAUCUCUAUCAACUCCAUCCAAUAGUAUCUGACGAUACAUUUUCUUGAUGUCUGCACUAAAUGCGUAGAAUAAUUUUAUUCUUCUCCUAAGUAUAUACAGAAAAUGCCGCUAGAGGGCUAAGGUGUGUACAUGUAGCUAAUGAUGUAACACUCUUUAUAUUUUUCUUUUUUAGAUCAUAAUUUCCUCUAUCAUUUGAAAUUAAUUUCAUAUAGAAAUCAGCUAUUUUUCUGUAUGAGGAUAAAAACCAAAUCUUGGAAAGAUUUUAAAAUUCUCGAUUAGAAGUUUUAUUGUCUGUUGAGGUAUAUGUGGUUUCAAAAAUUUUAAAGCAAAUAAAAGGGGAAGUAUGUAAUUAUGUUGUUUUAUGUCACUAAUUUUGUUCCACUUAUCAUCUGUGUCACAAUAAAUAGAUCUUUCUCUGUGAUAUAUUAGUGGUUUAAUUUCUUAUUUAAAAAAUUUUAAUAUGUAUUUUACUUAAGUAUGUACUUUAUUUUAAGGGAGAAUCAAAUGUUUCCACCGGUGAACAAAUAAAUGUGAAUGGCAGCACAAAUAAUAUGCCUAUUAAAAGAACAUCAGAUUUUUCAGCAACUCCAAGUAAAAAGAUCUGUGUGGAAUCAUCUGGAUCAUUUAAAGAGAAUAAAAUUGGAUUGAAGGAUGCAUUUAAAUGGAGUGAAGCCAUAGAGAGAAUAUUACAAAAUAGUUCUGAAAAAGCUAUGCCUCUU